CCUAAGGUAGCGAAAUUCCUUGUCGGGUAAGUUCCGACCCGCACGAAAGGCGUAAUGAUUUGAGCACUGUCUCGACAAUGCAUCCGGUGAAAUUGAAGUACCAGUGAAGAUGCUGGUUACCUGCGCCAGGACGGAAAGACCCCAUGGAGCUUUACUCCAGCUUGAUACUGGGAUUCGAUACUGUAUGUACAGGAUAGGUGGGAGACGUUGAGCAUAGAACGCCAGUUUUAUGUGAGUCGCUGUUGGGAUACCACCCUUGCAGUAUUGGAUUUCUAACCUGCACCCAUGACCUGGGUGGGGGACAAUGUCUGGCGGGGAGUUUGACUGGGGCGGUCGCCUCCGAAAGGGUAUCGGAGGCGCUCAAAGGUUCCCUCAGAAUGGUUGGAAACCAUUCGAAGAGUGCAAAGGCAGAAGGGAGCUUGACUGCGACACCGACGGGUGGAGCAGGUACGAAAGUAGGACUUAGUGAUCCGGUGGUAUAAAGUGGGAUUGCCAUCGCUCAACGGAUAAAAGCUACCCUGGGGAUAACAGGCUUAUCACUCCCAAGAGUUCACAUCGACGGAGUGGUUUGGCACCUCGAUGUCGGCUCAUCGCAUCCUGGAGCUGUAGCAGGUUCCAAGGGUUGGGCUGUUCGCCCAUUAAAGCGGUACGCGAGCUGGGUUCAGAACGUCGUGAGACAGUUCGGUCCCUAUCCGGCGUGGGCGUAGGAUAUUUGAGAGGAGCUGUCCUUAGUACGAGAGGACCGGGAUGGACGGACCGCUGGUGUAUCUGUUGUUGUACCAACAGCAUGGCAGAGUAGCCAAGUCCGGCAGGGAUAAACGCUGAAGGCAUCUAAGCGUGAAGCCCCCCUCAAGAUAAGAUAUCCCAUCAUAAGAGUAAGACCCCUUGAAGACUACAAGGUUGAUAGGCUUGGAGUGUAAUCGUGGCAACACGUUCAGCUGACAAGUACUAAUAGGUCGAGGGCUUAUCCUU
Molecule: ribosomal RNA, 972 nt
Filed under: human gut metagenome
Description: bacterial LSU rRNA
Rfam family: Bacterial large subunit ribosomal RNA
Source: RNAcentral